This 253-nucleotide ribosomal RNA is filed under the name uncultured bacterium. RNAcentral's name for it is "partial 16S ribosomal RNA". It matches the Rfam family "Bacterial small subunit ribosomal RNA", at positions 524 to 776 of the family's 1533-position model. The record is from RNAcentral.
UACGGAGGGUGCAAGCGUUAUCCGGAUUCACUGGGUUUAAAGGGUGCGUAGGAGGGCAGGUAGGUCAGUGGUGAAAUCUCCAAGCUUAACUUGGAAACUGCCGUUGAUACUAUCUGUCUUGAAUACCGUGGAGGUGAGUGGAAUAUGUCAUGUAGCGGUGAAAUGCUUAGAUAUGACAUAGAACACCAAUUGCGAAGGCAGCUCGCUACACGAAUAUUGACUCUGAGGCACGAAAGCGUGGGGAGCGAACAGG